This is a long non-coding RNA of Lemur catta (Ring-tailed lemur), 523 nucleotides long. RefSeq lists it as uncharacterized. The transcript has 2 exons. The record is from RefSeq and is a predicted model, not a curated record. Lineage: Eukaryota; Metazoa; Chordata; Mammalia; Primates; Lemuridae.
GCACAGAGAAGUAGCCCAGGAUCACACAGCAAGUUGCAGAAAGCUGUGCGCUGGAGGACUCCCACUUCGCCCCGUUGCUGGAAGCACAUAAUUGGAAAAAGCCGGCCAUGCUCUGCGUGUUUAGAGCUGUGUCAUCCUCUGUGAGACAAUGAGUCAACACCAGCUAAAACAACAUGAGUCAUUGCUUAUAAGAAGCCCAAGUGAAGCUGAAGUCGGUUAUGCCAAUCCUGAACAAACACGAUACUCUUAUGCAGAUGCUAAGAAAGUUCUUAUUAUGGGAGUUAAAAAAAAUUAUUACCAAUUCUCUUUAGAGUUCAUGGAAGUCCUUUGCCACUCAGGGGGCUUUUAAAUGUACCCUCAAAAGGAACUCUCUUCGUUUAACCACAUCUUACCCUAGUUCAUUCUCUCUUCUGUCUCUUUCACUGCCCCCCAACCCUGCCCACACCCACUUCAGCUCAUUACUAUUUUAAUCUGGCUUAAGAGCUAUUAGAUUGAAAUCCAUAAAAUCAAAAUUGUAAUCUUA